AAAACAGACAUCAGAAAACCAGGACUAACUGCUGUCGGGGGCAGGGUGACCCCAUCGAUAACCUACAACCCCUCUAUAACUCCACAACUCCCUCUCACCAUGGAAUUUCCAUUUGCUGUGGAAAGGCAUGUGAUCCAUCCCUCCCUCUGACCUCUUAGCUGGGAUUCCAUGGCCACACAACCCUGUGACUCUAUGUCCCCUCAAUUUCAGGACCCCCCUUGGCCCCAUGAUUCCUUGACCCCAUGGCCUUGUGACCCCUGACCUUCCAAGUGACCUCCCUAGACUUUGGGCCCUGUGACUGUUCUUCCCAUACCUCUCACUUGUGACUCUGGCCUUGGCUCCUCUUGGGGGUCUUGUUGGUCUGGGCCUCCCUAGGAAGAUGUGGGGGAGGCUCUGGCCCCUCUUCCUGAGCUUCCUCACAGCAACUGCAGUACCCGGACCCUCACUGCGAAGACCAUCCAGAGAACUAGAUGCUACCCCUCGGAUGACCAUCCCUUAUGAAGAGCUCUCUGGGACCCGGCACUUCAAGGGCCAAGCCCAGAACUACUCAACACUGCUGCUGGAGGAGGCCUCACAGAGGCUGCUGGUGGGAGCCCGAGGCGCCCUGUUCUCUCUCAGUGCCCAUGACAUAGGAGAUGGGGCUCACAAAGAGAUCCACUGGGAAGCCUCUCCAGAGAUGCAAAGCAAAUGUCAUCAAAAAGGGAAAAACAAUCAGACUGAGUGCUUUAACCACGUGCGGUUCCUACAGCGGCUCAAUGACACCCACCUCUAUGCAUGUGGAACUCAUGCCUUCCAGCCCCUCUGUGCUGCCAUUGAUGCUGAGGCCUUCACCUUGCCAACCAGCUUCGAGGAGGGAAAGGAGAAAUGUCCUUAUGACCCAGCCCGUGGUUUCACAGGCCUUGUCAUCGAUGGAGGCCUCUAUACAGCCACACGGUAUGAAUUCCGGAGCAUACCUGACAUCCGCCGGAGCCGCCACCCACACUCCCUGAGAACUGAGGAAGCACCAAUGCACUGGCUCAAUGAUGCUGAGUUUGUAUACUCCGUCCUCGUGCGAGAGAGCAAGGCCAGCGCAGUGGGUGAUGAUGACAAGGUUUACUACUUCUUCACGGAGCGUGCCGCUGAGGAGGGCUCCAGCAGCUUCUCUCAGAGCCGAAGCAGCUACCGAGUGGCCCGUGUGGCCCGUGUGUGCAAGGGAGACCUAGGAGGGAAGAAGAUCCUGCAGAAGAAGUGGACAUCCUUCUUGAAGGCUCGUCUCAUCUGCCACAUUCCACAGUAUGAGACGCUGCGUGGGGUCUGCAGCCUGGAUGUUGACACCUCAUCCCGUACACACUUCUAUGCAGCCUUCACGCUGAUCACACAGUGGAAGACCCUGGAGGCCUCAGCCAUCUGCCGCUAUGACCUGGCCGAAGUGCAGGCUGUCUUUGCAGGCCCCUACAUGGAGUACCAGGAUGGUGCCCGGCGCUGGGGCCGCUACGAGGGUGGGGUGCCUGAGCCCCGGCCUGGCUCGUGCAUCACAGAUUCAUUGCGCAACCAAGGCUACAACUCAUCCCAAGACUUGCCAUCCCUGGUCCUGGACUUUGUGAAGUUGCACCCACUGAUGGCUCGGCCUGUGGUACCCACACGUGGACGGCCCCUGCUGCUCAAGCGCAAUGUGCGUUAUACACACCUCACAGGGACACCCAUCACCACACCUGCUGGACCCACCUAUGACCUGCUCUUUCUGGGAACAGCUGAUGGUUGGAUCCACAAGGCUGUGGUCCUGGGUUCUGGGAUGCACAUUAUUGAAGAGACACAAGUUUUCAAGGAGCCCCAGUCUGUGGAGAAUAUAGUUAUCUCUCUGAUGCAGCACAGCCUCUACGUGGGGGCCCCUAGUGGAGUCAUCCAGCUACCACUGUCCAGCUGCUUCCGCUACCAUUCCUGCUAUGACUGCAUCCUGGCCCGGGACCCUUACUGUGGCUGGGACCCCAGCACCCAUACCUGCAUGGCAGCCACCACUGUAACCAACAGGACAGCACUGAUACAGGACAUAGAAAGAGGAAAUCGAGGCUGUGAGGGCAGCAGAGAUACAGGGCCGCCACCACCACUGAAGACCCGCUCUGUGCUCCGAGGUGAUGAUGUCCUCCUGCCCUGUGACCAGCCAUCCAACCUGGCCCGGGCCUUGUGGCUACUCAAUGGGAGCAUGGGCCUAAGUGAUGGGCAGGAUGGCUACCGUGUGGGUGUGGAUGGGCUGCUGGUGACAGACACACAACCUAAGCACAGUGGCAACUAUGGCUGCUACGCUGAAGAGAAUGGCCUCCGCACCCUGCUGGCCUCCUAUAGCCUCACAGUCCGGCGGGCCACUUCUGCCCCAGCUCCACAAGCCCCUGCCAUGCCUGGGGCACAGCUGGCACCUGAUGUGAGGAUGCUCUAUGUGCUAGCCAUUGCUGUACUUGGUGGCCUCUGCCUCAUCUUGGCCUCCUCACUCCUCUAUGUGGCCUGUCUGCAGGAAGGCAGACGAGGGCGCCGACGGAAAUACUCACUGGGUCGGGCUGGCAGAGCAGGGGGAUCUGCUGUGCAGCUGCAGACAGUCUCAGGCCAGUGUCCUGGAGAGGAAGAUGAGGGUGACAAUGGGGAGGGGGCUGGUGGCCUGGAGGGCAGCUGCCUCCAGAUCAUCCCUGGGGAGGGAGCCCCAGCCCCACCACCUCCACCACCCCCACCACCCCCAGCUGAGCUGACCAAUGGGCUGGUGGCACUGCCCAGUCGGCUGCGAAGAAUGAAUGGCAACAGCUAUGUGCUCCUGAGGCAGAGCAACAAUGGAGUACCGGCAGGGCCCUGCUCUUUCACAGAGGAACUCAGCCGCAUCCUGGAGAAGAGGAAGCACACGCAACUCGUAGAGCAGCUAGAUGAGAGCUCUGUUUAAGCGCAGCCUACCAGAACAAACACUCUUCUAAGCCAGCCUAUCUACCUGGGGCUGGGCCGCUGCCUUCCUAACACAGCUCCCCUCCCUCCACACUCCUCACUUCUUACCCUUCUCCCAACAUUUUAGUGUCCCUGUAGGGCUGGCCUGAGUCAGGCCUAGCCAAAGCCCUUUCCUCAGUCUCCACAGACCCACAUGUGAGCAGCCCAGGCCCAUCGGUGCUCCUCAGAGGCAGGGUUUUGCAGGUCCAGAUGGCCUCAAUGUCACCACCCUCUGCAUGGCCCUGUGUGCUGGAUGGUCCUGAAGCCAGACAAGACCUCUACCAGUCAUUUGAGCCCUGCAUACAUUCACAUGUGCACAUGGAAUAAUGUUUAUCAGCUGGGCUGCAGUGUUCCCACCCCCACCUUCUUCUCCUGGUACAUUCUUUUUUUU
Molecule: RNA transcript, 3328 nt
Organism: Otolemur garnettii (small-eared galago)
Lineage: Eukaryota; Metazoa; Chordata; Mammalia; Primates; Galagidae
Gene: SEMA4G
Gene name: semaphorin 4G
Exons: 15
Source: RefSeq, a predicted model, not a curated record